Peromyscus maniculatus bairdii (prairie deer mouse) is the source of this 485-nucleotide long non-coding RNA. RefSeq lists it as uncharacterized. Lineage: Eukaryota; Metazoa; Chordata; Mammalia; Rodentia; Cricetidae. The record is from RefSeq and is a predicted model, not a curated record.
UAGUUUGUUACAGGGUUACCCAGCACUAUAGCAGCCACUGUGGCUGACCAGAGUGUAGGGUUACCAUGGACACAAACAAGUGCCAACACUCAUAUUAGUGUGUUUGGAAGCAAAUAAAAUGUUAUCUAUCUAUCUGAGAAAACGAAGUCAUAUGAAAAAGUUUCCUGAUGUCUAAGAAGGAAAAUGCUGAGAGGAGUGAAGCGGAGGUCAUUAUAUUUCUUUCUUUUUAAAUGCCAAGAAUUCAGCUGGCGAGAGCUAGGAAUCAUCUAGAGCUAUGCAGAUGACCAGCAGCAUACAUGUGGGAAAUUUGAUGGGCCUUUACAGCUGAGUGAGUUGAGGAAGAACAGGGCUGGUGUGAUGGAUGACUCCCUGGGCAAAUGCUCCUGCUGCUAAGUCUGACGAUCAGAGUUCAAUCCCACAGGACCCACAUAGAGGAGAGAGAGAACAGAUCUCUGCAGGUUGUCCUCUGACCUCCACACAUACAC